RNAcentral lists this long non-coding RNA (300 nucleotides) under Elaeis guineensis (African oil palm). RNAcentral describes it as "long non-coding RNA (EGUI_LNC008437)". Lineage: Eukaryota; Viridiplantae; Streptophyta; Magnoliopsida; Arecales; Arecaceae. The record is from RNAcentral.
UGGUAGGUUUAGUUUAUGUCAUGAUGAUGGGAAAGGUUGUGGUCCAGAGUCGCAGAUUAGUGUUGGCUAUCAAAAGAAACGUAUAUUUGGACAGAUCAUGGAUGGUGGAAGAUUCCAAAGUCAUGAAAGAAGCUUGAGCAAUUGAAGGUUACCGUACUAUAGGAAUAUGAACGGUGAUUUACCAGGGACUUUAGGGUAUAUAAGGUGUAUAUAUAUGAUGCUGAACUGUAAGCUUGUAUUGUGGACAAUGCUUCAAGUUAAAUCCGUAACCUAUGUUCAAAUAAUCCGUGGUGCCACAUC